GUGAGGAAUCUUCCACAAUGGGCGAAAGCCUGAUGGAGCAACGCCGCGUGAAGGAUGAAGGUCUUCGGAUUGUAAACUUCUUUUAUGAGUGAAGAAUAUGACGGUAACUCAUGAAUAAGCACCGGCUAACUACGUGCCAGCAGCCGCGGUCAUACGUAGGGUGCAAGCAUUAUCCGGAGUGACUGGGCGUAAAGAGUUGCGUAGGCGGUUAUGUAAGCGAAUAGUGAAACCUGGUGGCUCAACCACACAGACUAUUAUUCGAACUGCAUAACUCGAGAAUGGUAGAGGUAACUGGAAUUUCUUGUGUAGAAGUGAAAUCCGUAGAUAUAAGAAGGAACACCAAUGGCGUAGGCAGGUUACUGGGCCAUUUCUGACGCUAAGGCACGAAAGCGUGGGGAGCGAACCGGAUUAGAUACCCGAGUAGUCC
RNAcentral lists this ribosomal RNA (427 nucleotides) under uncultured bacterium. RNAcentral's name for it is "partial 16S ribosomal RNA". It matches the Rfam family "Bacterial small subunit ribosomal RNA", at positions 354 to 796 of the family's 1533-position model. The record is from RNAcentral.